AAUGGAGGAAACUCUAAUGCAGCAACGCCGCGUGGAGGACGAAGGUUUUCGGAUUGUAAACUCCUGUCUUUUGGGACGAUAAUGACGGUACCAAAAGAGGAAGCCACGGCUAACUACGUGCCAGCAGCCGCGGUAAUACGUAGGUGGCGAGCGUUGUCCGGAAUUACUGGGCGUAAAGAGUAUGUAGGCGGAUAUUUAAGUCAGAUGUGAAAUUCCCGGGCUUAACCCGGGAGCUGCAUUUGAUACUGGAUGUCUAGAGUGCAGUAGAGGAAAGUGGAAUUCCUAGUGUAGCGGUGAAAUGCGUAGAGAUUAGGAAGAACACCAGUGGCGAAGGCGACUUUCUGGACUGUAACUGACGCUGAGAUACGAAAGCGUGGGGAGCAAA
This 385-nucleotide ribosomal RNA is filed under the name uncultured bacterium. RNAcentral's name for it is "bacterial SSU rRNA". It matches the Rfam family "Bacterial small subunit ribosomal RNA", at positions 370 to 772 of the family's 1533-position model. The record is from RNAcentral.